Molecule: transfer RNA, 72 nt
Filed under: Cordylochernes scorpioides
Lineage: Eukaryota; Metazoa; Arthropoda; Arachnida; Pseudoscorpiones; Chernetidae
Description: tRNA-Thr
Source: RNAcentral
GUCCAGGGAUGGGAAUCGAACCCACAGUGUUCCGCUUACCGGGUAGAUGCCUGUCCACUAAGCUACCCUGGA